Molecule: small nuclear RNA, 103 nt
Organism: Pipistrellus kuhlii (Kuhl's pipistrelle)
Lineage: Eukaryota; Metazoa; Chordata; Mammalia; Chiroptera; Vespertilionidae
Source: RefSeq, a predicted model, not a curated record
GUGCUUGCUUCGCAGCACAUGUACUAAAACUGGAAUGAUACAGAGAUUGGCAUGGCUCCUGUGCAAGGAUGACACACAAAUUCGUGAAGCGUUCCAUAUUUAA